Leptonychotes weddellii (Weddell seal) is the source of this 437-nucleotide long non-coding RNA. RefSeq lists it as uncharacterized. NCBI's taxonomy places the organism in Eukaryota, Metazoa, Chordata, Mammalia, Carnivora, Phocidae. The record is from RefSeq and is a predicted model, not a curated record.
GAGCGGCUAGAAGCCGACUUCACGCUCUACGGCCUCAGUCCAGUUACGGAACUGUGGUAUUAGUUCCUACUCCCAGGAAAUUUAGAAUUGAUGGGUCUUCUCAGUUGGUCUCUACCAUCAUUCCCAGCUGUUUGGAGUACCUUCACCGAGAUCUCCUGACCAAAGGAUACCUGUGAUUGCAUUUAGGAUCUCCCAGAAGAUAAUACAGGAUAUGCUGGAUUUCUUUCAGCAGGAAUGACUCCAUAUAUAACUUUACAUUUGGUGCAUCUGUGGGAGAAGAGGAGUUUGGGAGCCUCCUAUGUAACCAUCUUUGCAGCUACUCCUGUUUAGAUGUUGAUAUUGUAAUUCUCAUGAUAUUGAGGGUUGGAUUUUGUUGUGUUCCCUUAAACAAUGUUGGAUGUUGUUUUAGAGGCAAUUACAUUAUUUCUUACAAUCAA